Molecule: ribosomal RNA, 404 nt
Filed under: Actinomycetes bacterium
Lineage: Bacteria; Bacillati; Actinomycetota; Actinomycetes
Description: Actinobacteria bacterium partial 16S ribosomal RNA
Rfam family: Bacterial small subunit ribosomal RNA
Source: RNAcentral
UGGGGAAUAUUGGACAAUGGGCGCAAGCCUGAUCCAGCCAUGCCGCGUGAGUGAUGAAGGCCCUAGGGUUGUAAAGCUCUUUCACCGGUGAAGAUAAUGACGGUAACCGGAGAAGAAGCCCCGGCUAACUUCGUGCCAGCAGCCGCGGUAAUACGAAGGGGGCUAGCGUUGUUCGGAUUUACUGGGCGUAAAGCGCACGUAGGCGGACUGUUAAGUCAGGGGUGAAAUCCCGGGGCUCAACCCCGGAACUGCCUUUGAUACUGGAAGUCUUGAGUAUGGUAGAGGUGAGUGGAAUUCCGAGUGUAGAGGUGAAAUUCGUAGAUAUUCGGAGGAACACCAGUGGCGAAGGCGGCUCACUGGACCAUUACUGACGCUGAGGUGCGAAAGCGUGGGGAGCAAACAGG